This 403-nucleotide ribosomal RNA is filed under the name uncultured bacterium. RNAcentral's name for it is "partial 16S ribosomal RNA". It matches the Rfam family "Bacterial small subunit ribosomal RNA", at positions 338 to 733 of the family's 1533-position model. The record is from RNAcentral.
CCUACGGGAGGCAGCAGUGGGGAAUUUUGCGCAAUGCUCGUAAGAGUGACGCAGCGACGCCGCGUGAAUGACGAAGGCCUUCUGGUCGUUAAGCUCUUUCUGCAGGGAAGAAAAUCCAGAUAAGUAACUCUGUUUGUAUUGACGGUACCUGUAUAAGCAGCCCCGGCUAACUCCGUGCCAGCAGCCGCGGUAAUACGGAGGGGGCGAGCGCUGAUCGGAGUGAUUGGGAGUAAAGGGCACGUAGGCGGUGUGGUAAGUCAUUAGUCAAAGACUAGAGCUCAACUUUAGUAAGGCUAGUGAUACUAUAAUGCUAGAGUAUCAGAGAGGAUUGCAGAAUGCCUGGUGUAGCGGUGAAAUGCGUAGAUAUCAGGAGGAAUACCGUUGGCGAAGGCGGCUAACUGGC